UACAGGGGGUGCAAACGUUGCUCGGAAUCAUUGGGCGUAAAGCGCACGUAGGCGGUUCGUUAUGUCGGAUGUGAAAGCCCUUGGCUUAACCGAGGAAGUGCAUCCGAAACUGGCGAGCUAGAGUACGAAAGAGGAUCGCGGAAUUCCCGGUGUAGAGGUGAAAUUCGUAGAUAUCGGGAGGAACACCGGUGGCGAAGGCGGCGAUCUGGGUCGAUACUGACGCUGAGGUGCGAAAGCGAUGGGGAGCAAACAGGG
This 255-nucleotide ribosomal RNA is filed under the name uncultured bacterium. RNAcentral's name for it is "partial 16S ribosomal RNA". It matches the Rfam family "Bacterial small subunit ribosomal RNA", at positions 524 to 777 of the family's 1533-position model. The record is from RNAcentral.